Molecule: transfer RNA, 82 nt
Filed under: Tilletia horrida
Lineage: Eukaryota; Fungi; Basidiomycota; Exobasidiomycetes; Tilletiales; Tilletiaceae
Description: tRNA-Leu
Rfam family: tRNA
About the family: Transfer RNA (tRNA) molecules are approximately 80 nucleotides in length. Their secondary structure includes four short double-helical elements and three loops (D, anti-codon, and T loops). Further hydrogen bonds mediate the characteristic L-shaped molecular structure. tRNAs have two regions of fundamental functional importance: the anti-codon, which is responsible for specific mRNA codon recognition, and the 3' end, to which the tRNAs corresponding amino acid is attached (by aminoacyl-tRNA synthetases). tRNAs cope with the degeneracy of the genetic code in two manners: having more than one tRNA (with a specific anti-codon) for a particular amino acid; and 'wobble' base-pairing, i.e. permitting non-standard base-pairing at the 3rd anti-codon position.
Source: RNAcentral
GGUACUGUAGCCUAGUGGUUAAGGCGGAGGUUUUAAGCACCUUUGUGCUCGCACAUCGUCGGUUCGAAUCCGUCCAGUACCA